Non-coding RNA from Oryza meridionalis, 192 nucleotides. Lineage: Eukaryota; Viridiplantae; Streptophyta; Magnoliopsida; Poales; Poaceae. The record is from Rfam.
UUUAAGUGCAGUUGUGGAUUUUUAGUUCAAGACCGUCCAUUUUAUUUAGAAUUUUUUAUGAUAUUUUUGUUGUUAUUAAAUGAUAAAAUAUGGAUAGUACUUUAUGCGUGACUUAUUUUUUAAAAUUGUUUAUAAUUUUAAAUAAGACAGACGAACAAACGUUGGACACAGAAACCCACAACUGCACUUUAA